This 460-nucleotide ribosomal RNA is filed under the name uncultured bacterium. RNAcentral's name for it is "partial 16S ribosomal RNA". It matches the Rfam family "Bacterial small subunit ribosomal RNA", at positions 338 to 795 of the family's 1533-position model. The record is from RNAcentral.
CCUACGGGAGGCAGCAGUGAGGAAUAUUGGUCAAUGGCCGUAAGGCUGAACCAGCCAAGUCGCGUGAAGGAAGAAGGAUCUAUGGUUUGUAAACUUCUUUUAUAGGGGACUAAAGGUAUCCACGUGUGGAUAUUUGCAUGUACCCUAUGAAUAAGCAUCGGCUAACUCCGUGCCAGCAGCCGCGGUAAUACGGAGGAUGCGAGCGUUAUCCGGAUUUAUUGGGUUUAAAGGGUGCGUAGGUUGUUUUUUAAGUCAGCGGUGAAAGUUUGUGGCUCAACCAUAAAAUUGCCGUUGAAACUGGAAGACGUGAGUGUGUUUGAGGUAGGCGGAAUGCGUGGUGUAGCGGUGAAAUGCAUAGAUAUCACGCAGAACUCCGAUUGCGAAGGCAGCUUACUAAGCCAUAACUGACACUGAAGCACGAAAGCGUGGGGAUCAAACAGGAUUAGAUACCCGGGUAGUC